CGCCGCGACCUCGGCCACCUUAUGAGUUUUACUGCAAGAGUAUGUCGGCAUCCUGCUUUUUCUAGUUAAAAAAUAGGUCGACCCACGCUGAUACGCGAUCUAUGGUAAAGAUUUUUUUUCUCUAUAAAGAAAAAGGUCGUCCUAUAUACUUCAACAGUAUAUCUUUUCUUAAUGUGAAUCAUUUUGUGGUUGGAUAGUUAGAGGAAUUGUGAUAUCCCUAACCCUGUAAUCCAGAUGCUCGUAUUUAUUUCUAGAUUUAUUUUAGGAUUUUUGACAAAGCGCAUUCAAUGAAAGUAACGUUUUCGUCGACGAGGCGUCAACGAUGAUUUCAUAAAUCUCAGGGUACUCAUAAGGGUAGGAUAUGUGUGUGCAUUCAUAUGGAUGAUUGUAUGCGUGUGUGUAUGAACGCUUGCGUUUGUACUGUGCUAAAAAAUAGUUGAUCCUUACUAUCUUUGACAGUAUUGUUAAAAAUCUCAUGUUGGACUUUUAAGCGUGACAAUCAAACGAUUUUAAUGACAAAUUUAAUUAGCGUAAGGAUGUUAAAUUUAGCUCAUGAGCAUGGCAAUUUCCUGCAAAAAAAAGUAAAACAGAUUUAUCAUGCUUCUCAACUAAACUUGUCAUUCUAGACAAACACUAAUCAUCAUAAAAAUGUUUGAUUUUUCAUAGCCAAAAAUCUGAUGUUAGAUUUGUAGUGGAGUUCAUCUUUAAUUCUCUAUAAGCAUGCACUUAUGUCAAGUCAUUGGGCCAUCAUAGAUAAAAAGCAUAUGUUACCAAUGAUACCUGUAUUAAACAUACAUUUCAUAACUAUAUAAUAAUCAGGUACAACAAAUUAUAUUUAUUUUAACUCUAAUGCCCAUUCGGUUAACGCAAGUGUACUAAUGUCUCAUACUCAACACGACUGUAUCAACUCACCCUGUCACGAUGCAUGAAAAAACAACGCACCUCAAUAUACUAUUUAUAUUCAAUAAAUAUUCCUAUAUACCAUAACAAUAUACUAAAUUAUAUAAUCAAGUCUCAAUUUCCAUAUUUUAAUUCAAAUCCCAUAUGCCUAAGAGAGUGAUCUUCAAUAACUUUUUUAACUCAACAUGUAUGUCGUGGUGAGUGUAGCUAAGUGGGCUCCCUUGUGAUGAACCAAUAAAUCAAGAUUCAAGUUCUAGACUUGACAAUGAUGAUCUUACUUUUUGAAAUUUAUUCCAAGCUGCUUAUAGGGAUAGGACGCAUGUGUGUGCGUUUCUAGGGUUGAGUGUUUGUAGUGUGUUAUAGAAAAUGCAAAUAUGUCACUCCAAUGUACAACCAUGAUUAGGAUAAGUUAUAUGUAAUCAUGCAUGAACCUUGAUGCUAUAACGUCCAAUCAUGCAUGAAAACAUGUUUUUCAUUCAACUAUUUUACUUAUAUGUAAUAAAUAUUUUACAACUACACAUAUUUACAUAUAAUAAGUUAUAUGUAUUUUCUAUUUUACUCAUGCUAACAACCAAACUUUUAAUCAAACAAUUACCACAUCAAUGUGCGGGAUAAUCUCUAACAUUAUUCUAUUAUACAACCAAAUCUCAUUGAAAUAAUUGCAUCCCACAUCAAUGUGUGUGGUACGUAUAACAAGUAGCAUACAUCCUUAACAUAAUAUAUUUAUAAAAUUAACAAUACAUCCCUUUCGGUGUGACGAAAUUUUCUUCCUCCUACAUCCACCAAUGGUGCAUCAUAAGCAAGGCUUCGCUUACGCGCCUCCAUCUAGGGAGGCAAACUUUAUUGAAAGAGAAGCUUGUAAAUGUCGCAAAUAUAAAGUCGUUGAUUUGGAUCAAAAGAUAACAAUGACCGUAAUCUGUAUAGGAAGUCACCAUCUUAAAGAAGACCAGGGAUGCAUGUAUAGUGUCCCAUGUCCCGCUAGACGGAGUUGGGGAACACAACUCUCCCACGGUCCCAAAUGAGGCCGAUGUUGGUAGCCUUCAUCGGUCAGAACUGGGUUGGGGAAUUAAGACGCACAAACACACUAUUCGCUCCCCAACACAAGGCCUGAAAUUAAUCCAUAGAAGAAAAAAAAACCAACCCGAAGAAUCAGAUUUGAGGACACAUGCCUCCCAACGAUGUUAAGAAGCACCAUCCAAAUGAAAGACGAGGCAGCGAGGACUUCAUGCCACCGACUACACCGUCGCCUCAUCACCAACGAUUGGGAGCCAAAAACUAAAUUUAAAAAUCUUACCCUACCACUAUCGAGGCGAAACAUCAAGUUCCCAACCCACUCCCUCUGUCAAAGCAACGAGCAAAGGGGGAGGGGCACUGACCUCACGGGCGAGGUCGUUUUGGCCGACGGGAGUAUUGUCAAAUCUUGAGGCAACGCCAAGAGCUAGCUGCAACCCAAGUUGGGAUAUGGGAUUAACUUUUACGGGCUUUGGUGCCAAAGCUUACGGAGGAGGGUGGGUAGUGCCUACUUGUGGCACGGAGGAGCAAGGGUAUAUGUAGCGCCCCCCCUAUCCGAAAAGUCCAAAACCUUUCCCUUGUCCCAUUUCCUUAUAAUUUUAAUGGAAUUAAAUGUUUGCUCACCUAGGAUACCCCUAAAAUUUAUCCCCUAAUAAUAUUUCAACACUAUUUUUUGCACACAAAAGCUUACCAACACAUCCAAUUAUGCAUGAAAACAUGUUUUCCACUCAANNNNNNNNNNNNNNNNNNNNNNNNNNNNNNNNNNNNNNNNNNNNNNNNNNNNNNNNNNNNNNNNNNNNNNNNNNNNNNNNNNNNNNNNNNNNNNNNNNNNNNNNNNNNNNNNNNNNNNNNNNNNNNNNNNNNNNNNNNNNNNNNNNNNNNNNNNNNNNNNNNNNNNNNNNNNNNNNNNNNNNNNNNNNNNNNNNNNNNNNNNNNNNNNNNNNNNNAUUUUACUCAUGCUAACAACCCAACCUUUAUAAAAAAAAUACACAUCAACGUGUGGGGUAAUCUGUAAUAUUAUAGUUUUAUACAAUCAAAUCUCAUUGAAAUAACUGAGUCCCACAUCAAUGCAUGUGGUACGUAUAAUAGGUAGCUUAUAUCCUUAACAUAAUAUAUUUAUAAAAUUAAAAAUACAUCCAAAUCCUUUGGUGAGACGAAAUUUUCUUCCUCCUAUAUCCACCCAUGACACAUUAUAAGCAAGCCUUCGGUUAUGCGCCUCCAUCUAGGGAGGCAAACUUUAUUGAACCGAAAGCUUGUAAAUGUAGCAACUAUAAAGUCGUUGAUUUAGACCAAAAGAUGUCAAUGAUCGCAGUCUGCAUAGGAAGUCACCGGCUUGAAGAAGACUAGAGAGGCAUCUAUGGUGUCCCAUGUCCCGCUAGCCGGAGUUGGGGAACACAACUCUCCCACGGUCCCCAAUGAGGCCGAUGUUGGUAACAUUCGUCAGCCAGAAUGGGCUGUGGGAAUCAAGACGCACAAACACACCAUUCGCUCUCCAACACAACGCCUGAGAUAAACCCAUAGAAGAAAAAAAACUGGAGAAUCAGAGUUGAGGACACAUGCCUCCCAACGAUGUCAAGAAGCACCGUUUGAAUGAAAGACGAGGCGGCGAGGACUUAUUCCAUGCCACCGACUACAUCAUCGCCUCACCACCAAUGAUUGGGAGCCAAAAUCUAAAUUUGAAAAUCUUACCCUACCACCAUCGAGGCGAAAUGGCACGGUCCCAACCCCCUCCCUCCGUCAAAGCAACAGGCGAAGGGGAAGGGGCAGUGACCUCACGGGCGAUGUCGUUUUGGCCGAUGGGAGUAUUGUUUAAUUUUGAGGCAACCCCAUGAUCUAGCCGCAACCCAACUUGGGAAUUUGGAUCAAUUAUUAUGGGCUUUGGUGACGAAGCUUACGGAGGAGGGUGGGUAGUGCCUCCGUGAACCACACUUGUGGCACGGAGGAGCAAGGGCAUAUCUAGUAGCCCCCCCUAUCUGAAAAGUCCAAAACCUCUCCGUUGUCCCUUUUUUUUAUAAUUUUGAUGGUAUUAAAUGUUUUCUCACCUAGGAUAUCCCCUAAAAUUUAACCCCUAAUAAUAUUUCAACACUACGUUUUGCACACAAAACCAUUCCACCACAUUCAAUCAUGCAUGAAAACAUGUUUUCCACUCAACUAUUCUACUUAUAUGUAAUAAAUAUUUUACAAACUACACAUAUGUAAAUAUAAUAAGUUAUAUGUAAUUUUAAUUUUACUCAUGCAAAAAACCCAACUUUUAAUCAAGCAAUUACCACAUCAACGUGCGGGGUAAUCUCUAACAUUAUUGUUUUAUACAACCAAAUCUCAUUCAAAUAAUUGUAGCCCACAUCAAUGCAUGUGGUACAUAUAAUAAGUAGCAUAUAUCCUUAACAUAAUAUAUCUAUAAAAUUAAAAAUACAUCCAAAUCCUUCGGUGUGACAGAAUUUUCUUCCACCUACCUCCACCAAUGGCGCAUCAUAAGCAAGCCUUCGCUUACGCGCCUCCAUCUCGGGACGCAAACUUUAUUGAACCAGAAGCUUGUAAAUGUAGCAACAAUAAAGUCAUUGAUUUAGACCAAAAGAUGUCAAUUUCCGCAGGGUGCAUAGGAAGUCACCACCUUGAAGAAGACUAGAUAGGCAUAUAUAGUGUCCCAUGUCCCGCUAGACGUAGUUGGGGAACGCAACUCUCCCACGGUCCCCAAUGAGGCUGAUGUUGGCAACCUUCAUUGGUCAGAACUGGGUUGGGGAAUCAAGACACACAAACGCACCAUUCGCUCCCCAAUACAACGUGUGAGAUAAACCCAUAGAAGAAAAAAAAAUCAACCUGGAGAAUCAAAUUUGAGGAUACAUGCCUCCCAAGGAUGUCAAGAAGCACCAUCAGAAUGAAAGCCGAGACGGGGAGGAUUUAUUCAAUGCCACCGAUUACACCGUCGCCUCACCACCAACGAUUGGGAGCUAAAAUAUAAAUUUAAAAAUCAUACCCUACCACUAUCGAGGCGAAACAGAAGGGUCCCAACCCUCUCCCUCCGUCAAAGUAACAUACAAAGGGAAAGCAGGAGUAACCUGAUGGGCGAGGUCGUUUUGUCCGCUGGGAGUUUUGUCGAAAAUAUUGAGACAACACCAUGAGCUAGAGCCACCCAACUUGGGAUAUGGGAUCAACUUUUAUGGGCUUUGGUGCCAAAGCUUACGGAGGAGGAUGGGUAGUGCCUCCGUGGACCACACUUGUGACAGGGAGGAGCUAGGGCAUAUCUAGCAGCCCCCUAUCCGAAAAGUCAAAAACCUCUCCCUUGUCCCAUUUUCUUAUAAAUUUGAUGGGAUUAAAUGUUCGCUCACCUAGUAUAUCCCCUAAAAUUUAACCCCUAAUAAUACUUCAAUGCUAUUUUUUGCACACAAAACAAUCCCAACACGUCCAAUCAUGCAUGAAAACAUGUUUUCCACUCAACUAAUUUACUUAUAUGUAAUAAAUAUUUUACAACAACACAUAUUUAAAUAUAAUAAGUUGUAUGUAUUUUUAAUUCUAAUCUCUAACACUAUUGUUUUAUACAACCAAAUCUCAUUGAAAUAAUUGCAUCCCACAUCAAUGCAUGCGGUACAUAUACUAAGUAGCAUAUAUCCUUAACAUGAUAUAUUUAUAAAAUUAAAAAUACAUCCAAAUCCUUUGGUGUGACAAAAUUUUCUUCCUCCUACUUCCACCAAUGACGCAUCAUAAGCAAUCCUUCGCUUACGCGCCUCCAUCUAGGGAGGCAAACUUUAUUGAACGGAAAGCUUGUAAAUGUAGCAACUAUAAAGUCAUUUAUUUAGGCCAAAGGAUGUCAUUGACCGUAGUGUGCAUAGGAAGUCACCAAUUUGAAGAAGACCAGAGAGGCAUGUAUAGUGUCCCAUGUCCCGCUAGACGUAGUUGGGGAACACAACUCUCCAACGGUCCCUAAUGAGGCCGAUGUUGCUAACAUUCAUUGACCAGAACUGGGUUGGGGGAUCAACAUGCACAAAAGCACCAUUUGCUCCCCAACACAACGCUUGAGAUAAAACCAUAGAAGUAAAAAUCAACCCGGAGAAUCAGAUUUGAGGACACAUGCCUCCCAACGAUGUCAAGAAGCACCAUCCGAAUGAAAUACAAGGCGGCGAGGACUUAUUUCAUGCCACCGACUAAACCGUCGCCUUACCACCAACGAUUGGGAGCAAAAAUUUCAAUUUAAAAAUAUUACCCUACCACUAUCGAGGCGAGACGGCAGGGUCCGAACCCCCUCCCUCCAUCAAAGCAACAGGCGAAGGGGGAGGGGCAGUGACCUCACGGGCGAGGUCAUUUUUGCCGAUGGGAGUAUUGUCAAAUCUUGAGGCAACGCAAUUAGCUAGCCGCAACCCAACUUGGGAUAUGGGAUCAACUUUUAUGGGCUUUGGUGCCAAAGCUUACGCGGGAGGGUGGGUAGUGCCUCCGUGGACCAAGCUUGUGUCCGGGAGGAGCAAGGGCAUAUCUAGCGGCCCCCUGUCCGAAAAUUCCAAAACCUCUCCCUUGUCCCAUUUCCUUAUAAUUUUGAUGGGAUUAAAUGUUUGCUCACCUAGGAUAUCCUCUAAAAUUUAACCCCUAAUAUUAUUUCAACACUAUUUUUUGCACACAAGACCAUGCCAACACAUUUAAUCAUGCAUGAAAGCAUAUUUUCCACUCAACUAUUUUACUUAUAUGUAAUAAAUAUUUUUACAACUACACGUAUUUAAAUAUAAUAAGUUAUAUGUAUUUUCAAUUUUACUCAUGCAAACAACCCAACUUUUAAUCAAAAAAUUGACACAUCAACGGGGUAAUAUUUAACAUUAUUUUUUUAUUCAACCAAAUCUCAUUGAAAUAAUUGCAUCUUACAUCAAUGCAUGUGGUACGUAUAAUAAGUAGCAUAUAUCAUUAACAUAAUAUAUUUAUAAAAUUAAAAAUACAUUCAAAUCCUUCGGUGUGACAAAAAUUUCUUCCUCCUACAUCCACCAAUGGCGCAUCAUAAGCAAGCCUUUUCAUAGGCGCCUCCAUCUAGGGAGCCAAACUUUAUUGGACCGAAAGCUUGUAAAUGUAGAAACUAUAAAGUCGUUGAUUGAGACCAAAAGAUGUAAAUGACCGUAGUCUGCAUAGGAAGUCACCACCUUGAAGAAGACCAGAGAAGCUCGUAUAGUGUCCCAUGUCCCGCUAGACGGAGUUGGGGAACACAACUCUCCCACGAUCCCCAAUGAGGCCGAUGUUGGUAAGCUUCAUCGGCCAGAACUGGGUUGGGGAAUCAAAACACACACACGCACCAUUCGCUCGCCAACACAAUGCCUGAGAUAAACCCAUAGCAGAAAAAAAAAACCCGAAGAAUCAGAUUUGAGGACACAUGCCUCCCAACGAUGUCAAGAAGCACCAUCCGAAAUGAAAGACGAGGCGGCGAGAACUUAUUCCAUGCCACCGACUACACCGCCGCCACGCCACUAAAGAUUGGGAGCCAAAAUCUAAAUUUAAAAAUCUUACCCUACCAUUAUCGAGGCGAAACUGCUGGGUCCCAACCCCCCUCCUUCCAUCAAAGCAACAAGCGAAGGGGGAGGGGCAGUGACCUCACGGGCGAGGUCGUUUUGGUCGAUGAGAGUAUUCUCGAAUCCCGAGGCAACGCCAUGAACUAGCCGCAACCCAACUUGGGAUAUGGGAUCAACUUUUAUGGGCUUUGGUGCCAAAGCUUAUGGAAGAGGGUGGGUAGUGCCUCCUUGGACCACACUUGUGGCAGGGAGGAGCAAGGGCAUAUCUAGCAGCCCCCCUAUCAAAAAAGUACAAAACCUCUCCCUUGUACCAUUUCCUUAUAAUUUUGAUGGGAUUAAAUGUUUGCUCACGUAGGAUAUCCCCUAAAAUUUAACCCCUAAUAAUAUUUCAAAACUAUUUUUUGCACACAAAACCAUCCCAAGCACAAAUUAAAACUAGGUUAUUGCAUAAUUAAACAUCGACGCCACAUUAGCAUGUUACUUAGCAUACUUAAAUAGUCCAUGCCUAGUACAUUAAGACCAAAUGGACAACAAACUAGCCCAAGCAUUGAUCUAACAUAUAAACUAAAUACUAGCUAGCUCUACUCAUCUUUGCAGUUAAGAUAGCUAUAAAAUCCUGAGUCCAAGCCCAAGGUAGAGGCUUCGAGGGACUGUCCUCAUUGAUGUCGGUGGUAGAAAGACUCCAUGGCAUCUCGUCCUCAUCCUUUGAUUCUUUGAGGAGCUUGUUGAAUAAAUGAUUGUUCUCGCUUUCGAGGCCGGUGAGCUCAGCAUGGUCGUGGUCGAACGUGCAUUUGGCAUCCACGGACUAGAAGAAGGCUUCAUUGGUGGCAAGGAGGUCCGACUCCUCCUCGAUAUGCUCGGCCACCAAAUGUGCCUCGACCACCUUGUGCUUGAUCUCUUUGGCCCAGGAGAUGAUGUGAAUGUCCUGAGGUACGAGAGCGGUGGCGACAACAACGUCCAAAAAAAUGAAAGUCGUUCACGGUUCGAGGAAGCAAAAUAACAAUGACAUAGUAGAUGGGUGCCUCCUCCUCCUCCGUGUGGAAAGCGCCUAGCCAUCGGCGGCCAUGCUCUUUGUGGCGGGUCAACACGCAACAAAGACGUGGGCAUCGUUGUUAGUUGGCCCUCUUCAUCGACUAAGCCCAUGGAUGCAUUCCGGUUUCAAUGGAUCUCUCAUGUACGCCUUUUUCUUUCUAAUGGGCAAUUUUGUUGGUAUAUCUAGAUUAACAUUCGUUUUGCUUUGUAUGUAGUCCGCUAGUAAAUUUUUUUAAAAGACUUAUAUUAAGGAACGGAGGGAGUAGCUUCUGCAAAAUUCAUCCAGCAACUAGCUAGGUUGCUCCGCUUGGUAUGUGAUUCUUGCAGCAGCUAGCUAGUGCGUGUGUGUGCAUAUGCCGUUGGUGUUGUGUGUGUGCAUAUGCCGUUGCUGUUGUGUGUGUGUGUGCUGCGUGCGUGUGUGUGGUUACGUGUGCGCGUGUGUGGUUACGUGUGCGUGUGUGUGUGUGAUGUUACAUGUGUGUGUUGUGUGUGUGUGCUGUUGUGUGUGUUGUUGCGUGUGUAUGUACUGCUGCGUGUGUGUUACUGUCGCUGUGUGUGAUAAUGUCUCGCAGUGAUAUUGUGUGUAAUACUGUUCGCACACAUACAUACCACAUGAGAGGUAAAAAAGUUUUUUCAGAUGUCAUUUAGUCUUAAAAUUGAUAAAAAUAUCAUAAAGGACAUAAAAUUUAGACUCGUUGCUAUAUAGGGAAAAAAGUUGUUCAAUGUUAAAUAAGUAAAUAAAAUUUAAAAUAGUGUUAAAUAAAGAAUUGUUUCUUUAUAUUAUGAGACGAAGGGAGUACUUUGAAGUUAUUUCUUGGUGGAGGCGUUUUCUACAUAAUUUUAACAUGGUUGUAUUCUCCCAUGCUCUCUUGUUUUUUUUCCUAUGGAUUGGUUGUAACCUUGUUGUUUUAUAAAUAUACUCGUGGCUAACCAAAAAAAAACUCUAAAUUCUAUUUUCUAUCUUCAUUUCUUCAAAGAAGUAUAGAAAAAUGACUUUUGCUCAGCUCGCGGAUCCCCUACAAUUAUUUUAUAGAAAUAAUGUGAACAUAUCUUUUCACAUAAAUGUAUUUGAAACAGAUAUUUAAACUACUUCAUCGCAUAUAAUUAAAUAACGAGACUACAUUAACAUUCUACUCUGCAUCACAGGAGAUGAUGAUCACCCACGCAUCGAAGGGACCAACCUCGCCGUUGUUGGCAUAGGGGCGAAUUGUGCGCACAGUAUCAAACAACACGAAGAUUGUGUGGUUCUUGGCAACGGUCUCCGGAUUGGAGCACCUCUACGGCUAAAAGGAUCGGCGGCCAACUUGUGAUCCCUGACGCUGCUUCUUUGCCUCCUUAGAGCAUCUACAACCGAAUCUUUUUAAAUUCGACCUUUCAAACGUCCACAAACGUGUUCGGACGUAUACCGACCGGUCAUGUCACAAAUAAUGUAUUCUACAUUCAGACAUCUUAAAUGUCAUAUCUUAAAUCCGUACAACCAUGCAACUACUACAUCGACGCAUAUUACACACGUCGUCCGGCUACUCCAUCACUACUAACAUCUCAUCGGACUAUCAAAAUUUGAUAUGUUUGAUUAUGGUGGAGAUCAUCCACGUCUGCCCUUGUCCUUUUCGAUGCCCUUGCCGUCCAUGUCGUGAAAGUACCGGUUGAAGAGGCAAUACGGAUUGAGCCGGAUCUGCUUGUCGCCGAAGCUGUCCUCGCCGACGCUCACCUCCUUCUCCUCCUU
RNAcentral lists this long non-coding RNA (10146 nucleotides) under Hordeum vulgare. Its description in RNAcentral is "long non-coding RNA (HVUL_LNC019865)". Lineage: Eukaryota; Viridiplantae; Streptophyta; Magnoliopsida; Poales; Poaceae. The record is from RNAcentral.